This is a long non-coding RNA of Hibiscus syriacus, 833 nucleotides long. RefSeq lists it as uncharacterized. Lineage: Eukaryota; Viridiplantae; Streptophyta; Magnoliopsida; Malvales; Malvaceae. The record is from RefSeq and is a predicted model, not a curated record. The transcript has 3 exons.
AUGUUUAGUCAAAUACUUUGACUCUCCUUUUACUCUAUUUGUAUUUAGUCUAGGUCAACAGUUACAAUAGUUUCUCCCUCUAAUCCUGGAAGCUUCUCUUCUUCAUCUUCGAUCACCGAAGUUUUACUUUUGUUAUGGUAUUAGAGCUAUCUCGUCACCGAUUCUGAUUGAUUCUGGCGAAUGGCUUAGUGCUUCUAACUGUUGUGAUGUUAUCACUAUCAAUCCUGACUAUGAGUGGUUUAAAGAGCAAUAUGAAGCUAUUGCUACAUGGCUUUUGUUCAUAAAGGUUCUGUUGCAAGGACGUGAGUCAGGUGGAACAUUGAAGAGCUGUUAUGUGCAUCCUUCGGUUUCUUUCUGGAAAAUUAAAGCAUGUGUAUCAAUUGAGGAUCAUCGUUCCACUACAAGGUAUUGUAUCUUUCUUGGUGGCAACCCUAUUUCACAGUGUUCUAAAAAGCAGAGUGUGGUUUCUCGAUCCACCUCUGAGGGCAAGUACGAAAGUUUGGCUAAUUUUAUUUUGGAACUAACUUGGAUCAAGCAACUUCUUGCUGAAGUUGGUGUUUGCGUUGAAGGGUAGCCAAUCGUCUAGUGUGAUAAUUCCUCCAUCAUGGCUAUGGCUUCAAAUUACACUUAUCAUGCUUGAGUCAAGCAAGUGGAAAUUGAUUUACAUUUUAUUUGAGAGAAAGUCCUUUCUAGAUAACUGUUGAUUAAUUUCAUGCCCUCAACAGAGCAGGUAGUUGACAUACUUACAAAGCCUAUGCCACCUGUUUGUUUUUCUCGGAUGAGACAAUAACUUAGAGUUGUCACCUUGUCAGAAAUUUUGGAAGAAGAAGCAA